AGCGAGCAUCAGCGUGAAGUUCACUAGUCAAAGCAAAAGGCGUGUUUCUUGUUUACGGAAAAAAAUAAUUGAUUUUGUUGGUCUUCGUCAACCGCUGCCUUCGCCGAAUUCUCGGCAUAUACUGGCCUGAGAAAAUCUCCAACGUCGAGCUAUUGGAACGCUGCCACGAAAUUCCGAUCAACCAGCAGAUCAAGCGCCGCAAGUGGAACUGGAUUGGCCACACUCUCCGAAGGGAUCCCGAUCACAUCUCCAAGCAGGCUCUGGAUUGGAACUCCCAAGGAAAACGCAAACGUGGUCGCCCCAAGCAAACUUGGGGGCGCACUGUGGCAGACGAGGCGAAGAAGAUCGGCAAGACUUGGAACGAGAUCAAACGCGUAGCUCAAGACCGAACGCGAUGGAGGACUGUUGUGGACGCCCUCUGCCCCAUCUAGGGGACAUAGGACCAUAAGUAAAGUAUUCAUUUAAUACGAUCAACAUGGAAAACUAUAAAAGUGAAAAGAAGAGGAAGUCGAAAAACAAAUUAAAAGAGGAUAGUAUAACUUAUAAAAAAUAUAAUGAAAAGGCUAAUGCAAGGAAGCGCAAGUUUUUAUAUGUAUAAAAUAACACCUGAACAAAGAGAUAUGAAGAGACUGAAAGAUAAUGUUAACAUAAUUCCUAAUAUCUGUUUAUUUUAAAACAAAGUGUAUAUUUUGAUUUUUAAGCAUUGAUAUGCAAGAAAAUCUCAAUGAUACUGCAAUUAGCA
This is a long non-coding RNA of Ostrinia nubilalis (European corn borer), 742 nucleotides long. RefSeq lists it as uncharacterized. Lineage: Eukaryota; Metazoa; Arthropoda; Insecta; Lepidoptera; Crambidae. The transcript is spliced from 3 exons. The record is from RefSeq and is a predicted model, not a curated record.